UACGGAAGGGGCAAGCGUUGUUCGGAAUCAUUGGGCGUAAAGGGCGCGUAGGUGGUUCUGUAUGUCUACUGUGAAAGCGUACGGCUCAACCGUAUUUUGUCGGUGGAAACUGCAGGACUUGAGGCUGGGAGGGGCUGGUGGAAUUCCCUGUGUAGCGGUGAAAUGCGUAGAGAUGGGGGAGAACACUCGUGGCGAAGGCGGCCAGCUAGACCAGUUCUGACACUGAGGCGCGACAGCGUGGGGAGCAAACAAG
This 253-nucleotide ribosomal RNA is filed under the name uncultured bacterium. RNAcentral's name for it is "partial 16S ribosomal RNA". It matches the Rfam family "Bacterial small subunit ribosomal RNA", at positions 524 to 776 of the family's 1533-position model. The record is from RNAcentral.